GUCCACGCCGUAAACGUUGGGCACUAGGUGUGGGUCUCAACCAACGGGAUCCGUGCCGUAGCUAACGCACUAAGUGCCCCGCCUGGGGAGUACGGCCGCAAGGCUAAAACUCAAAGGAAUUGACGGGGCCCGCACAAGCGGCGGAGCAUGUUGCUUAAUUCGAGGCAACGCGAAGAACCUUACCUGGGUUUGACAUGUAGGGAAAAGCCGUAGAGAUACGGUGUCCUUCGGGGUCCUACACAGGUGGUGCAUGGCUGUCGU
RNAcentral lists this ribosomal RNA (261 nucleotides) under uncultured bacterium. Its description in RNAcentral is "partial 16S ribosomal RNA". It matches the Rfam family "Bacterial small subunit ribosomal RNA", at positions 793 to 1055 of the family's 1533-position model. The record is from RNAcentral.